Long non-coding RNA from Oncorhynchus masou masou (cherry salmon), 574 nucleotides. RefSeq lists it as uncharacterized. The record is from RefSeq and is a predicted model, not a curated record. The transcript has 4 exons. Lineage: Eukaryota; Metazoa; Chordata; Actinopteri; Salmoniformes; Salmonidae.
AGUUAGCCAUUGUUAGCUAACGUUAGCAGCUAGCUAGUGUAUAACGUGUAUCAGCCCUGUCUACAACGCGAAUUAAAGACUACAUGGGGUGUGCUGGAGUCAGAGCAGAUCCCCACCAGCUGCAACCUGUUCAAUAACCAAGACCUCUACUAAUACUCAGCUGUGCCACUUCCACGCUGCCAGAUCAUAAUCUCUGCUCAUUCUGCCCGCUCGGACUCUGGUCCCUGUCUCCAGUCCCACAUCUCGUCAUCCUGCUACUCUGUCCUGGAUUCCCCACUCUACUACUCCCUUGGAUUUCCCUCCGGACCUGCUUACCCUUUCCCAACCCCACUCGCUCCAGCCUCAGCACCUGGUUUCCAGCAACACGCCCGAGCUUCCCCUGACCUGCACUCCAUCUCUCCCUUGUUUCAAUAAAUACCUUGGUUACUUUAUCCCAGUCUUCUCGUCUGAGUCUGCUCUUGGGUUCCCCUGUUCCACUCCGCGUAACAGACAGUAAUCAAGAUGGGACAAGAUCAAAGCCUGAACAAAUGUGUUGUUCCCCAGCCCAGAGAUGAGGACGCUGUCCCAUCCACUG